RNAcentral lists this transfer RNA (76 nucleotides) under Planctomycetes bacterium SM23_25. RNAcentral describes it as "tRNA-Ala". It matches the Rfam family "tRNA". From Rfam's summary of the family: Transfer RNA (tRNA) molecules are approximately 80 nucleotides in length. Their secondary structure includes four short double-helical elements and three loops (D, anti-codon, and T loops). Lineage: Bacteria; Pseudomonadati; Planctomycetota. The record is from RNAcentral.
GGGGCCGUAGCUCAGCCGGGAGAGCGCCUGGUUUGCAACCAGGAGGCCACGGGUUCGAAUCCCGUCGGCUCCACCA